Molecule: long non-coding RNA, 212 nt
Filed under: Volvox carteri
Lineage: Eukaryota; Viridiplantae; Chlorophyta; Chlorophyceae; Chlamydomonadales; Volvocaceae
Description: long non-coding RNA (VCAR_LNC002376)
Source: RNAcentral
GGAUUCCCGGGGGCAGUUAGCAUGUCACCAAUGGCAAGUGAUGCCGUCACUCAUCGUGAUCCUGCAAGUCAAGAAGAUGUGUGUGUGUAUGUGUGUGUAUGUGUGUGUGUGCGUGUAUGUGUGUGUGUGCGUGUAUGUGUGUGUGUGUGUGUGUAUGUGUGUGUGUGUGUGUGUGUGUGUGUGUGUGUGUGUGUGUGUGUGUGUGUGUGUGN